This 71-nucleotide transfer RNA is filed under the name Neorhizobium sp. 2083. Its description in RNAcentral is "tRNA-Ile". It matches the Rfam family "tRNA". Rfam says of the family: Transfer RNA (tRNA) molecules are approximately 80 nucleotides in length. Their secondary structure includes four short double-helical elements and three loops (D, anti-codon, and T loops). The record is from RNAcentral. Lineage: Bacteria; Pseudomonadati; Pseudomonadota; Alphaproteobacteria; Hyphomicrobiales; Rhizobiaceae.
AUUUGGAUAGCUCAGACGGGUAGAGCAUCAGACUGAUAAUCUGAUUGUCGAAGGUUCGAAUCCUUCUCCAA